CACUGCCCGGUGGUCAACAGGCAGCUCAUGCGCAGAGGGACCCCUGAACAUCGCAGAGGAGCCCCGGAUACCGCUCCGCAUCGCCGUCAGAUGAUUCUGUCCCCGGCCUGCUCAGUUGUUCCAGUUCUUCCCUGAGAAAGAGAGAGAGAGAGAAUGAGAGAGAGAGAAAGAGGGAGAGGAGGUGCCUGUGUCACAAUAAAAGUCCUUUCUGCCUGUGUAACCCUGCCUCAAGCCUGUCAUUCCCAGUGACUCAGGAAGGAGACAGAGGUAAAGCCAGACUGCAGGGAAUGAGAACACAAGGAGAUAGGUGAACUACAUCGAUAAUAUUCCCGCUGUCCUGUCCAUCGGUGUAUAAAGUAUCAGCACGGAUGUCCCUAUGGUAACUGGAGCGACGACGGGGAGGAGCGCCCUGCAAGAGCUGCAGUCUGAUGACGUCAUCCUUUCCCCGCCGGCGUGACCGAGCCACGGGCAGCGUUCACAUGUAUGGUGAAGGUAUAAAGCAACUUUACAGCGUGUACCACGUGCACCGGAGGGCGCCAUCUGAUGACGUCACGGUUCCCGAAUGGCUGUACGCGUUACUGUGUCCGGCAGGGAGCUCCGUCAGGCGUAUAUAUAUAUAUGGAAAAAAUAGAUGCGGGGGCGCUCAGGUACUGUAAUGCACUACCAGUGCACCUGAUAAAAAAUAAGAAUGUUUUCAAACAUAAAAAUAAAAAUUGACACUCCUCUAAAAUGAGUGGCUGCAUCUUAACCACUUAACUGGCAUUGUCAGAUCACAUGUGACCGCACC
Molecule: long non-coding RNA, 787 nt
Organism: Pseudophryne corroboree (corroboree frog)
Lineage: Eukaryota; Metazoa; Chordata; Amphibia; Anura; Myobatrachidae
Exons: 5
Source: RefSeq, a predicted model, not a curated record